CAAGUCGAGCGAGAUUUUUUCUUGUAGCAAUACAGGGAAAAGUCUAGCGGCGAACGGGUGCUUAACACGUGGGCAACCUGCCAAGAAGUGGGGGAUAGCUCGCCGAAAGGCGAAUUAAUACCGCAUGUGAUCAGAGUGGACAUCCAUUCGAAAUCAAAGUCGGGGCAACCUGACGCUUCUUGAGGGGCCCGCGGCCUAUCAGCUAGUUGGUGAGGUAACGGCCCACCAAGGCUUAGACGGGUAGCUGGUCUGAGAGGACGACCAGCCACACUGGGACUGAGACACGGCCCAGACACCUACGGGUGGCAGCAGUCGAGAAUUUUUCUCAAUGGGGGAAACCCUGAAGGAGCGACGCCGCGUGGAGGAUGAAUGUCUUCGGAUUGUAAACUCCUGUCAUUGGGGAACAAUGCGCAAAUAUUAACUGUAUUUGCGUUGAUAGUACCCGAAGAGGAAGAGACGGCUAACUCUGUGCCAGCAGCCGCGGUAAUACAGAGGUCUCAAGCGUUGUUCGGAUUCAUUGGGCGUAAAGGGUGCGUAGGCGGCGCGGUAAGUCGGGUGUGAAAUCUCGGAGCUUAACUCCGAAACUGCAUUCGAUACUGCCGUGCUUGAGGACUGGAGAGGAGACUGGAAUUUACGGUGUAGCGGUGAAAUGCGUAGAUAUCGUAAGGAAGACCAGUGGCGAAGGCGGGUCUCUGGACAGUUCCUGACGCUGAGGCACGAAGGCCAGGGGAGCAAACGGGAUUAGAUACCCCGGUAGUCCUGGCAGUAAACGGUGCACGUUUGGUGUGGGGAGGAUUCGACCCCUUCUGCGCCGGAACUAACGCGUUAAACGUGCCGCCUGGGGGAGUACGGUCGCAAGAUUAAACUCAAGAAAUUGACGGGGGCCGCACAAGC
Molecule: ribosomal RNA, 894 nt
Filed under: uncultured Verrucomicrobiota bacterium
Lineage: Bacteria; Pseudomonadati; Verrucomicrobiota
Description: bacterial SSU rRNA
Rfam family: Bacterial small subunit ribosomal RNA
Source: RNAcentral